GCGUGGGUAACCUGCCUCAUACAGGGGGAUAACAGCUGGGAAACGGCUGCUAAUACCGCAUAAGCGCACAGUACCGCAUGGUACCGUGUGAAAAACUCCGGUGGUAUGAGAUGGACCCGCGUCUGAUUAGGUAGUUGGUGGGGUAACGGCCUACCAAGCCGACGAUCAGUAGCCGACCUGAGAGGGUGACCGGCCACAUUGGGACUGAGACACGGCCCAAACUCCUACGGGAGGCAGCAGUGGGGAAUAUUGCACAAUGGGGGAAACCCUGAUGCAGCGACGCCGCGUGAGCGAUGAAGUAUUUCGGUAUGUAAAGCUCUAUCAGCAGGGAAGAAAAUGACGGUACCUGACUAAGAAGCCCCGGCUCACUACGUGCCAGCAGCCGCGGUAAUACGUAGGGGGCAAGCGUUAUCCGGAUUUACUGGGUGUAAAGGGAGCGUAGACGGCAUGGCAAGCCAGAUGUGAAAGCCCGGGGCUCAACCCCGGGACUGCAUUUGGAACUGUCAGGCUAGAGUGUCGGAGAGGAAAGCGGAAUUACUAGUGUAGCGGUGAAAUGCGUAGAUAUUAGGAGGAACACCAGUGGCGAAGGCCGGCUUUCUGGACGAUGACUGACGUUGAGGCCUCGAAAGCGUGGGGGAGCAAACAGGAUUAGAUACCCUGGUAGUCCACCGCCGUAAACGAUGAAUACUAGGUGUCGGGUGGCMAAGCCAUUCGGUGCCGCAGCAAACGCAAAAAGUAUUCCACCGUGGGAGU
RNAcentral lists this ribosomal RNA (753 nucleotides) under uncultured bacterium. RNAcentral's name for it is "bacterial SSU rRNA". It matches the Rfam family "Bacterial small subunit ribosomal RNA", at positions 115 to 881 of the family's 1533-position model. The record is from RNAcentral.